GGGUUGUUAGCUCAGUUGGCUAGAGCAUCUCGUUUACACCGAGAGGGCCGGGGGUUCGAGUCCCUCACAACCCA
RNAcentral lists this transfer RNA (74 nucleotides) under Candidatus Saccharibacteria bacterium RAAC3_TM7_1. It matches the Rfam family "tRNA". From Rfam's summary of the family: Transfer RNA (tRNA) molecules are approximately 80 nucleotides in length. The record is from Rfam by way of RNAcentral. Lineage: Bacteria; Candidatus Saccharimonadota.